Molecule: long non-coding RNA, 1103 nt
Filed under: Sorghum bicolor (sorghum)
Lineage: Eukaryota; Viridiplantae; Streptophyta; Magnoliopsida; Poales; Poaceae
Description: long non-coding RNA (SBIC_LNC016264)
Source: RNAcentral
GUACUCUCCUGAGUUUUAGACACAAUUGUUUAGACUUAAGAUUUUGCUCUGAGCCUAAACCUUGUGGGUAGCAAAUGCCUGAUCUUUGUCUAGGUAGUUGACAGAUAUGAUAUGGGAAUGUUUUGCGUUGCUGUCCAUCUUGCUCCUAGAGAUGCUAGAGAUCUAGAGAAUUUUAAUUUGAAAAUCUUAAAUCGCUACAUGAUGAGUUCCUUUAUGACGAGAGUUUAAAAUUCUUACCACAGCCAAAUACUAGAUUAGGAAACCUUUCCACUAAUAUUUCAACCUAUAAGCAUUGAGGGUAGUUAAGCUAUGUAGAUGCUAAGGAACUAGUCAUGCAAUUAAAGUCAAUAUUAUGUGCUCUCCAUCCAUUGAUCUUAGUUACUUCUAUCCUUAGAAGUAUGCAACCACUUACAUCCAUUACACAUUCACUCUAUGCUACUUCUGUUUCUGGAAGUACAACCAACAUAUACGCACUACACUCUGUGUUGUUUCUAUCCUAGAGACAUGCACCUAUGAUGCUCCUACCCGGGAGUACACAUUCUUCCAUCCACAUAUAUAUUCCUCAUCCACUUAGAAAAUGUUCUUCUCCUACACUAGGAGAAGACACCCAAAAAUAGUCAUUAUAUCUUAUUCUACUUAUCCAAUAAAGCUCAAUAUAUUUCAGUUGAUACUCUCUAUUGUUAUCAGUGCAUUAAAAGGAUGGCUGAUCUUAAAAAAAAGAGAAAAGAAAGAAAGAGGACAAAAGUCCCAAUACAAAAGAAAAGAAAGACAGCCUAGUUUUUUCAGACUAGGGAGUUAUGUUAUCCCUAAUGCAAUUGUAGAAUUAGAUAUUCACCAUCUGUUAUCACCCCUUAUUGUCACUAUCAUUCUUAUCUUUCACUUCAUUCACUGCACUCACAUGCACAUAUGAAUUGAUUCUAUAAUUAGUUUCUUUGGAUCCAUGGUUUAAUUAUGCAAUAUAUGUAAGUAGGUUUGAAUUAUCUUUCCCACAUAUGAGCUCCACAUAAGCCAAUUAGAAGUAGGGUGAGAGAGAGAGAAGGCAACUAUGUGUUAGUCCUACAAAUACCACAUAUUAGCGGAGAGAAGGCAUACUCACUUGCCUU